ACGGACCUUCGGGUCAGUGGCGGACGGGUGAGUAACGCGUGGGAAUCUGCCUUCAGGAGGGGGAUAACGGCUGGAAACGGCCGCUAAUACCCCAUAUGCCGCGAGGUGAAAUGAAUUUCGCCUGAAGAUGAGCCCGCGUCUGAUUAGCUAGUUGGUGGGGUAAGAGCCUACCAAGGCGACGAUCAGUAGCUGGUCUGAGAGGAUGAUCAGCCACACUGGGACUGGGACACGGCCCAGACUCCUACGGGAGGCAGCAGUGGGGAAUUUUCCGCAAUGGGCGAAAGCCUGACGGAGCAACGCCGCGUGAGGGAUGAAGGCCUCUGGGCUGUAAACCUCUUUUCUCAAGGAAGAAGAUCUGACGGUACUUGAGGAAUAAGCCACGGCUAAUUCCGUGCCAGCAGCCGCGGUAAUACGGGAGUGGCAAGCGUUAUCCGGAAUUAUUGGGCGUAAAGCGUCCGCAGGCGGUUCUGUAAGUCUGUCGUUAAAGCGUGGAGCUCAACUCCAUUUCGGCGAUGGAAACUGCAGGACUUGAGUGUGGUAGGGGCAGAGGGAAUUCCCGGUGUAGCGGUGAAAUGCGUAGAUAUCGGGAAGAACACCAGUGGCGAAAGCGCUCUGCUGGGCCAUAACUGACGCUCAUGGACGAAAGCCAGGGGAGCGAAAGGGAUUAGAUACCCCUGUAGUCCUGGCCGUAAACGAUGAACACUAGAUGUCGGGGGAAUCGACCCCCUCGGUGUCG
RNAcentral lists this ribosomal RNA (736 nucleotides) under uncultured cyanobacterium. Its description in RNAcentral is "bacterial SSU rRNA". It matches the Rfam family "Bacterial small subunit ribosomal RNA", at positions 66 to 848 of the family's 1533-position model. Lineage: Bacteria; Bacillati; Cyanobacteriota. The record is from RNAcentral.